This 257-nucleotide ribosomal RNA is filed under the name uncultured bacterium. RNAcentral describes it as "partial 16S ribosomal RNA". It matches the Rfam family "Bacterial small subunit ribosomal RNA", at positions 524 to 776 of the family's 1533-position model. The record is from RNAcentral.
UACGUAGGGUGCAAGCGUUGUCCGGAAUUAUUGGGCGUAAAGAGCUCGUAGGCGGUUCGUCGCGUCGGCUGUGAAAUCCCGAGGCUCAACCUCGGGUCUGCAGUCGAUACGGGCGGACUGGAGUUCGGCAGGGAAGACUGGAACUUCCUGGUGUAGCGGUGAAAUGCGCCAGAUAUCAGGAGGAACACCGAUGGCGAAGGCAGGUCUCUGGGCGAUUAACUGACGCUGGAGGAGCGAAAGCAUGGGGAGCGAACAGG